CCGAUGGCCCUAGUUUCUAUGUUGAAGAAAACAAAUUUGCUUUUAAAGUCUUGGGUUCAAAACUUGAAGCCAGCCCUUCUGGGAUAGACGAAGACGUUGGACCUAUAGCAGAGACUAAGCAAGGAAGGACUCUGAAGUGACCUGGAGAAGAAGCUGGCAUCUUUUAUUCCCGAGUUGAACAUGAACCUGGCCCAAGACAUGGAAGAAUAAAAGGAGGAGACCCAGGAGGCGCUGGAAGAGCUGUUUGGGGCUGCGAUCCUGUCUGCUCCCUUCCUUCCUUCCUCCUGUCACCUCCUCUUCUCCAUGAUGCAAAGAUGGUGAGAUUGGAAGGCCACAAGAUGGUACUAUGAUCAGAGGACCCAGGGACUUCAUCCUGCCCUUAAGAUUCCCAAGGUCGGGACUUCGUUGGUGUCCAGAGCUUACGACUCCGCGCUCCCCAUGCGGGGGGCGGGGGUUCGAUCCCUGGUCAGGGAACUAAGAUCCCAUGUACUGCAACUAGAGAGCCCGCACAUCCCAACGAAGACCCAGCACAGCCUAA
Physeter macrocephalus (sperm whale) is the source of this 538-nucleotide long non-coding RNA. RefSeq lists it as uncharacterized. The transcript is spliced from 3 exons. The record is from RefSeq and is a predicted model, not a curated record. Lineage: Eukaryota; Metazoa; Chordata; Mammalia; Artiodactyla; Physeteridae.